ACAUCCUCCCCUGGGUUGUGGGGGCUCACAGCUCUCUCCUCACACAGGGCAGAAAUCUCUGGGGAAGGUAGAACUGUGCUCUAGAAGAAGAUGAGACUGCUGGGUCUUCUCCUGUGCCUGGUGACAGCCCCCCCCAGGGUGUCCACUCUGAGGUGCAGCUGCAGGAGUCGGGCCCAGGAGUGGUGAAGCCCUCACAGACCCUCUCCCUCACCUGCACAGUCUCUGGUUACUCCAUCACCAGUGGUCAUGAAUGGAGCUGGAUCCGCCAGUUCCCCCAGAGGGGGCUGGAGUGGAUCGGGUACAUAAGUUAUAGUGGAAGUGCUUACUACAGCCCGUCCCUCAAGAGCCGCACCUCCAUCUCCAGAGACACGUCCAAGAACCAGUUCUCCCUGCAGCUGACUUCCAUGACCACCGAGGAUACAGCUGUGUAUUACUGUGC
Phyllostomus discolor (pale spear-nosed bat) is the source of this 439-nucleotide long non-coding RNA. RefSeq lists it as uncharacterized. The record is from RefSeq and is a predicted model, not a curated record. NCBI's taxonomy places the organism in Eukaryota, Metazoa, Chordata, Mammalia, Chiroptera, Phyllostomidae. The transcript is spliced from 2 exons.